AAGGAAUAUUGGGCAAUGGACGCAAGUCUGACCCAGCCAUGCCGCGUGAAGGAUGACGGCCCUAUGGGUUGUAAACUUCUUUUGUACGGGAAAAAACCCCUGAUCGUGUAUCGGGGCUGAUGGUACCGUAAGAAUAAGCAUCGGCUAACUCCGUGCCAGCAGCCGCGGUAAUACGGAGGAUGCAAGCGUUAUCCGGAUUCAUUGGGUUUAAAGGGUGCGUAGGCGGGAUGAUAAGUCAGUGGUGAAAUCCUACAGCUUAACUGUAGAACUGCCAUUGAUACUGUCAACCUUGAGUACAUUUGAAGUGGGCGGAAUGUGUCAUGUAGCGGUGAAAUGCUUAGAUAUGACACAGAACACCGAUAGCGAAGGCAGCUCACUAAACUGUUACUGACGCUGAGGCACGAAAGCGUGGGGAUCAAAC
RNAcentral lists this ribosomal RNA (421 nucleotides) under uncultured bacterium. RNAcentral describes it as "bacterial SSU rRNA". It matches the Rfam family "Bacterial small subunit ribosomal RNA", at positions 356 to 773 of the family's 1533-position model. The record is from RNAcentral.